This 484-nucleotide ribosomal RNA is filed under the name uncultured bacterium. RNAcentral's name for it is "partial 16S ribosomal RNA". It matches the Rfam family "Bacterial small subunit ribosomal RNA", at positions 28 to 523 of the family's 1533-position model. The record is from RNAcentral.
GACGAACGCUGGCGGCGUGCUUAACACAUGCAAGUCGAACGAUGAAGCCGGAGCUUGCUCUGGUGAAUUAGUGGCGAACGGGUGAGUAACACGUGAGUAACCUGCCCUUGACUCUGGGACAACUGCCAGAAAUGGUAGCUAAUACCGGAUACGACCCUCGGAGGCAUCUCCAGGGGGUGGAAAGAAUUUCGGUCAAGGAUGGACUCGCGGCCUAUCAGCUAGUUGGUGAGGUAAUGGCUCACCAAGGCGACGACGGGUAGCCGGCCUGAGAGGGUGGCCGGCCACACUGGGACUGAGACACGGCCCAGACUCCUACGGGAGGCAGCAGUGGGGAAUAUUGCACAAUGGGCGCAAGCCUGAUGCAGCAACGCCGCGUGAGGGAUGACGGCCUUCGGGUUGUAAACCUCUUUUAGUAGGGAAGAAGCGAAAGUGACGGUACCUGCAGAAAAAGCACCGGCUAACUACGUGCCAGCAGCCGCCGUAA